Molecule: ribosomal RNA, 435 nt
Filed under: Diutina catenulata
Lineage: Eukaryota; Fungi; Ascomycota; Pichiomycetes; Serinales; Debaryomycetaceae
Description: eukaryotic LSU rRNA
Rfam family: Eukaryotic large subunit ribosomal RNA
Source: RNAcentral
UGCCUCAGUAACGGCGAGUGAAGCGGCAAAAGCUCAAAUUUGAAAUCCUUCGGGAGUUGUAAUUUGUAGAGGGGUGUCUUUGGGGCGGCAUUGUCUAUGUUCCUUGGAACAGGACGUCACAGAGGGUGAGAAUCCCGUGCGAUGAUGCCUCAACCAGUACAAGACCCUCUCGACGAGUCGAGUUGUUUGGGAAUGCAGCUCUAAGUGGGUGGUAAAUUCCAUCUAAAGCUAAAUACUGGCGAGAGACCGAUAGCGAACAAGUACAGUGAUGGAAAGAUGAAAAGCACUUUGAAAAGAGAGUGAAACAGUACGUGAAAUUGUUGAAAGGGAAGGGUAGGAGGUGAGGGGAAGAGCUGCUUAGGCGCGGGAGAUAAACRAGCAGGAAGCGCUUCGGUGCGGCCUGGUAAAUAUCCCGUGCUUGUGUGGUUCUUCCGU